RNAcentral lists this ribosomal RNA (363 nucleotides) under uncultured bacterium. Its description in RNAcentral is "partial 16S ribosomal RNA". It matches the Rfam family "Bacterial small subunit ribosomal RNA", at positions 338 to 698 of the family's 1533-position model. The record is from RNAcentral.
CCUACGGGGGGCAGCAGUGAGGAAUAUUGAUCAAUGGACGCAAGUCUGAACCAGCCAUGCCGCGUGCAUGAAGACGGCUCUAUGAGUUGUAAACUGCUUUUGUACGAGGGUAAACGCUGAUACGCGUAUCUUUCUGAAAGUAUCUUACGAAUAAGGAUCGGCUAACUCCGUGCCAGCAGCCGCGGUACGACGGAGGAUUCAAGCGUUAUCCGGAUUUAUUGGGUUUAAAGUGUGCGUAGGCGGUCGGUUAAGUUAGAGGUGAAAUCCCGGGGCUCAACUUCGGAAUUGCCUCUGAUACUGUUCGGCUAGAGAGUAGUUGAGGGAGGCAGAAUGUAAGGUGUAGCGGUGAAAUGCUGAGAGAUC